This 72-nucleotide transfer RNA is filed under the name Acidobacteriota bacterium. RNAcentral describes it as "Acidobacteria bacterium (activated sludge metagenome) tRNA-Gly". It matches the Rfam family "tRNA". From Rfam's summary of the family: Transfer RNA (tRNA) molecules are approximately 80 nucleotides in length. Their secondary structure includes four short double-helical elements and three loops (D, anti-codon, and T loops). Further hydrogen bonds mediate the characteristic L-shaped molecular structure. tRNAs have two regions of fundamental functional importance: the anti-codon, which is responsible for specific mRNA codon recognition, and the 3' end, to which the tRNAs corresponding amino acid is attached (by aminoacyl-tRNA synthetases). tRNAs cope with the degeneracy of the genetic code in two manners: having more than one tRNA (with a specific anti-codon) for a particular amino acid; and 'wobble' base-pairing, i.e. permitting non-standard base-pairing at the 3rd anti-codon position. Lineage: Bacteria; Pseudomonadati; Acidobacteriota. The record is from RNAcentral.
GCGGGUGUAACUCAAUGGUAGAGUGUCAGCUUCCCAAGCUGAAAGUUGCGAGUUCGAGCCUCGUAGCCCGUU